CUCAGGUAUUGAAACUUUUCGG
This 22-nucleotide microRNA is filed under the name Saccoglossus kowalevskii. RNAcentral's name for it is "sko-miR-4836-3p". The record is from miRBase by way of RNAcentral. Lineage: Eukaryota; Metazoa; Hemichordata; Enteropneusta; Harrimaniidae.